AGUGAACGCUGGCGGUAGGCCUAACACAUGCAAGUCGAACGGCAGCACAGUAAGAGCUUGCUCUUACGGGUGGCGAGUGGCGGACGGGUGAGGAAUACAUCGGAAUCUACUUUUUCGUGGGGGGUAACGUAGGGAAACUUACGCUAAUACCGCAUACGACCUACGGGUGAAAGCAGGGGAUCUUCGGACCUUGCGCGAUUGAAUGAGCCGAUGUCGGAGUAGCUAGUUGGCGGGGUAAAGGCCCACCAAGGCGACGAUCCGUAGCUGGUCUGAGAGGAUGAUCAGCCACACUGGAACUGAGACACGGUCCAGACUCCUACGGGAGGCAGCAGUGGGGAAUAUUGGACAAUGGGCGCAAGCCUGAUCCAGCCAUACCGCGUGGGUGAAGAAGGCCUUCGGGUUGUAAAGCCCUUUUGUUGGGAAAGAAAAGCAGCAGGUUAAUACCCCGCUGCUCUGACGGUACCCAAAGAAUAAGCACCGGCUAACUUCGUG
This 492-nucleotide ribosomal RNA is filed under the name uncultured bacterium. RNAcentral's name for it is "partial 16S ribosomal RNA". It matches the Rfam family "Bacterial small subunit ribosomal RNA", at positions 29 to 507 of the family's 1533-position model. The record is from RNAcentral.